This 345-nucleotide ribosomal RNA is filed under the name uncultured bacterium. RNAcentral describes it as "bacterial SSU rRNA". It matches the Rfam family "Bacterial small subunit ribosomal RNA", at positions 278 to 615 of the family's 1533-position model. The record is from RNAcentral.
GAUCAGUAGCUGGUCUGAGAGGACGACCAGCCACACUGGGACUGAGACACGGCCCAGACUCCUACGGGAGGCAGCAGUGGGGAAUUUUGGACAAUGGGCGAAAGCCUGAUCCAGCCAUGCCGCGUGAGUGAAGAAGGCCUUCGGGUUGUAAAGCUCUUUUAGUCGGAAAGAAAGAGUCAUAGUAAAUAGCUAUGAUUUAUGACGGUACCGACAGAAAAAGCACCGGCUAACUACGUGCCAGCAGCCGCGGUAAUACGUAGGGUGCGAGCGUUAAUCGGAAUUACUGGGCGUAAAGGGUGCGCAGGCGGCCUGGUAAGUCAGAUGUGAAAGCCCCGGGCUUAACCU